GACGGAGGGCGCUAGCGUUGUUCGGAAUCACUGGGCGUAAAGGGCGCGCAGGCGGCCCGGCCAGUCGGGUGUGAAAGCCCGGGGCUCAACCCCGGAACGGCACCCGAUACUGCCGGGCUCGAGGCCGGGAGAGGGUGGUGGAAUACCCAGUGUAGAGGUGAAAUUCGUAGAUAUUGGGUGGAACACCGGUGGCGAAGGCGGCCACCUGGCCCGGUCCUGACGCUGAGACGCGAAAGCGUGGGGAGCGAACAGG
Molecule: ribosomal RNA, 253 nt
Filed under: uncultured bacterium
Lineage: Bacteria
Description: partial 16S ribosomal RNA
Rfam family: Bacterial small subunit ribosomal RNA
Source: RNAcentral